Molecule: non-coding RNA, 84 nt
Organism: Podarcis lilfordi (Lilford's wall lizard)
Lineage: Eukaryota; Metazoa; Chordata; Lepidosauria; Squamata; Lacertidae
Source: the annotation of a GenBank genome assembly
CACAUUAUACCUGAAUGAAUCUCAGGGAAUGGAGGAAAUUGUCCCUUAUUUCUCCCUUCCUUGAAAUUCAUUCGGGUACAAUGC